UACGAAGGGUGCAAGCGUUAAUCGGAAUUACUGGGCGUAAAGCGCGCGUAGGUGGUUCGUCAAGUUGGAAGUGAAAGCCCUGGGCUUAACCUAGGAAUUGCUUUCAAAACUGGCGGGCUAGAGUACGGUAGAGGGUAGUGGAAUUUCCUGUGUAGCGGUGAAAUGCGUAGAUAUAGGAAGGAACAUCAGUGGCGAAGGCGACUACCUGGACUGAUACUGACACUGAGGUGCGAAAGCGUGGGUAGCGAACAGG
RNAcentral lists this ribosomal RNA (253 nucleotides) under uncultured bacterium. RNAcentral describes it as "partial 16S ribosomal RNA". It matches the Rfam family "Bacterial small subunit ribosomal RNA", at positions 524 to 776 of the family's 1533-position model. The record is from RNAcentral.